Molecule: non-coding RNA, 503 nt
Organism: Maylandia zebra (zebra mbuna)
Lineage: Eukaryota; Metazoa; Chordata; Actinopteri; Cichliformes; Cichlidae
Source: RefSeq, a predicted model, not a curated record
AACUGCCAAUAACAAUAUAAAAAGAAGAAAAGAACUUUGGGCCCUCAUGGAAAAUUCCAGCCACACAUGCAGACCAGUUAUACUUUCACUUUUCCUUUUGACAUCACUGGCUUGAAAGUCAUGCAACGAUUCAAAGCGUCUUUUGCCUCUCACCAAAGCAGAUAAGUUUAUUAGGAGCAGACUCAGCAUAACGUUUCUCUCUAUAAAAACAGCAUCUGUUAGGGUUCAUAAAAAGGAAGCUGCGUUGAUAAAAACCAGAUCGAAAAAAAGCAAAGACCUACAGUGAAGAUGAGAAGCUGAUGACAUGGAGGAUCACGAUAAUGCAGCAGGAGCAGGAGGAAGAGAAGAAAUCAAAUCAUUGAAAAAAGAUGAGCUGACGGUAGAUGAAACUACAGCAAUGUCUGGUCCAGUAAAUAAAUCUGGCGAAACUCAACCUUCAGAGAAUAUCAAUCAAAGUACAGGAGGAGAGUCUGAAAACGCAUCUGAACCAUCUGACACCAUUG